This 540-nucleotide ribosomal RNA is filed under the name Triticum aestivum (bread wheat). RNAcentral describes it as "partial small subunit ribosomal RNA". The record is from RNAcentral. Lineage: Eukaryota; Viridiplantae; Streptophyta; Magnoliopsida; Poales; Poaceae.
AUGGAGCGCAAAUUCGAGGUGGGCGACUCUGUGCUGCUCAAACUACAGCCAUAUGCGCAAUCCUCUGUCGUCAAUUGACCGUGCGCCAAGUUGGCGUACAAAUUCUUCGGGCCCUUCAAGAUUCUGGCACGCAUCGGCAAGCUCGCAUACAAGCUGGAGCUACCCACUGACAGCCGCAUCCACAACGUCUUCCACGUCUCGCAACUGAAGCCCUUCACACCCAAUUACUUGCCGGUGUUCUCCGAGCUUCCACGACCACCGGACUUGUCCAUCACCGACAACGAGCCAGCGGAAAUCAUGGACCGCAGGAUGGUCAAGAAGGGCGAUCAAGCGCUGGUCCAGCUCCGCAUUCGUUGGUCUUCUUCAGCGUCGGGCACAACCUGGGAGGACUAUGAAACACUACGGCAACGAUUUCCGGCGGCGAGUAUUUGGCGCGAGACGAUGACCGGUCAAAACCAGACAACGCCUGAAGAUGAAACACAAAUGGAAGACGGGGCUUUCUCUGAAGAAGAGGGGCAUGUCACACCUGCAUCCCACUGA